This 497-nucleotide ribosomal RNA is filed under the name uncultured bacterium. Its description in RNAcentral is "partial 16S ribosomal RNA". It matches the Rfam family "Bacterial small subunit ribosomal RNA", at positions 28 to 507 of the family's 1533-position model. The record is from RNAcentral.
GAUGAACGCUGGCGGCGUGCCUAAUACAUGCAAUUCGAGCGAACAGACGAGGAGCUUGCUCCUCUGACGUUAGCGGCGGACGGUUGAGUAACACGUGGAUAACCUACCUAUAAGACUGGGAUAACUUCUGGAAACCGGAGCUAAUACCGGAUAAUAUAUUGAACCGCAUGGUUCAAUAGUGAAAGACGGUUUUGCUGUCACUUAUAGAUGGAUCCGCGCCGCAUUAGCUAGUUGGUAAGGUAACGGCUUACCAAGGCAACGAUGCGUAGCCGACCUGAGAGGGUGAUCGGCCACACUGGAACUGAGACACGGUCCAGACACCUACGGGAGGCAGAAGUAGGGAAUCUUCCGCAAUGGGCGAAAGCCUGACGGAGCAACGCCGCGUGAGUGAUGAAGGUCUUCGGAUCGUAAAACUCUGUUAUUAGGGAAGAACAAAUGUGUAAGUAACUAUGCACGUCUUGACGGUACCUAAUCAGAAAGCCACGGCUAACUACGUG